RNAcentral lists this ribosomal RNA (253 nucleotides) under uncultured bacterium. RNAcentral's name for it is "partial 16S ribosomal RNA". It matches the Rfam family "Bacterial small subunit ribosomal RNA", at positions 524 to 776 of the family's 1533-position model. The record is from RNAcentral.
UACGUAGGGUGCGAGCGUUGUCCGGAAUUAUUGGGCGUAAAGGGCUCGUAGGCGGUUUGUCGCGUCGGGAGUGAAAACCUCGGGCUUAACUCGGGGCUUGCUUUCGAUACGGGCAGACUGGAGGUAUGCAGGGGAGAACGGAAUUCCUGGUGUAGCGGUGAAAUGCGCAGAUAUCAGGAGGAACACCGGUGGCGAAGGCGGUUCUCUGGGCAUGAGCUGACGCUGAGGAGCGAAAGUGUGGGGAGCGAACAGG